AGUCAGAGUUUGAACCAAAACAGCUGAGUUGAACCACCAGAGUUCAGGAAGAGUAAGCAAGAAAGGAAAACCACCACUGGAAAAAAUGAAAGGACAACUGAACAAGAAAGCACCAUGGUAUUUUCUUUGAAAUUGUAUCUUCUUUAUAGCACAAGGAAUUUACGAAUGUGAAAGGUCAUCAAUAUGAUUGCCCCAGCAAAACCACAUUAAUGACCAACUGACAUGCUAACACAGGGAGCUUGAAGUGCCUUGUAGAUGUUAUCACAUGAAUCCUCUUGCUGUCCCAGUGAGGCCAGGAACAAAUAGUCUGCCAUCCUGGAGAACAGACUGAGAAAGCCGUUAUCAGGGAACAUAGGAUACACAGCAGUCUCCAUGAAGGAUGGAUGCAGUGCAUAUUGUUGCAGUGGUUUGCGAAAGCUCACAUCCUAGCAGCAUCGUUUGGAUGGAUGGUAAGUGAUUGAU
Molecule: long non-coding RNA, 462 nt
Filed under: Mus spretus (western wild mouse)
Lineage: Eukaryota; Metazoa; Chordata; Mammalia; Rodentia; Muridae
Description: lncRNA (ENSMSPG00010008989.1)
Source: RNAcentral